Molecule: ribosomal RNA, 542 nt
Filed under: Delacampius villosus
Lineage: Eukaryota; Metazoa; Arthropoda; Insecta; Hemiptera; Largidae
Description: partial 28S ribosomal RNA
Rfam family: Eukaryotic large subunit ribosomal RNA
Source: RNAcentral
CAAGGAGUCUAGCGUGUGCGCGAGUCAUUGGGUUAUAAAACCUAAAGGCGUAAUGAAAGUGUCAGAGUUAGACUUGAGCUUUCUCUGUGGGAGGAUUAAUAUUUUGCCUUUUUUUUUUUAUAAAAAAAAUACUUAUAUUCCGCACUCCCGGGGCGUUUCAUUCUCUUUUAGAGACGAGACGCACCAGGAGCGCACACGCUGGUAUCCGAAAGAUGGUGAACUAUGCCUGGCCAGGACGAAGCCAGGGGAAACCCUGGUGGAGGUCCGAAGCGAUUCUGACGUGCAAAUCGAUCGUCUGAGCUGGGUAUAGGGGCGAAAGACCAAUCGAACCAUCUAGUAGCUGGUUCCCUCUGAAGUUUCCCUCAGGAUAGCUGGCUCUCGGGUGUGAGACGAGUCUCAUCCGGUAGAGCGAAUGAUUAGAGGUGAUGGGGUCGAAACGACUUCAACCUAUUCUCAAACUCCCAAUAGAUGAGAGCCCCGGCUUGCUUGAAAAUGAAGCCGGGGGAUUUUUAGAUCAGAAAAGCCAAGUGGGCCAAUUUUGG